Long non-coding RNA from Mus musculus (house mouse), 314 nucleotides. RefSeq annotates it as predicted gene, 51542. The record is from RefSeq and is a predicted model, not a curated record. Lineage: Eukaryota; Metazoa; Chordata; Mammalia; Rodentia; Muridae. The transcript is spliced from 3 exons.
AAGCAUAUACAAAGGAGCACACCCUCUGUGCCUUCCACAAUUAGUUGGAAUAGGAAGGAACGUGGUGCCCGCCUAAGCCAGCCUCCAGACUCAGCUUUUAUCCUCUGCCAACACCUGCACCGCAGACUGGCCUGAGACCCUGAAGUGCAUGAUAUCUGGGGACAAAGCUCCAGGUGGAGAAUAACAACUACAAAGGCCUUGAGACUCUACAGUUGGAAUAGUGGUCUCUUCCCACCCUGAAUUUAUUUCUUACAAUUUGGGAGCUCAUCCAAGAUCCUAGCUCACAUGGAGGAGUGCUUCAGACCCCAUCCAGG